RNAcentral lists this long non-coding RNA (246 nucleotides) under Capsella rubella. RNAcentral describes it as "long non-coding RNA (CRUB_LNC001430)". The record is from RNAcentral. Lineage: Eukaryota; Viridiplantae; Streptophyta; Magnoliopsida; Brassicales; Brassicaceae.
AAAAAAUGGUACAGGAUGAAGAAAAACUGGUACAUGAUGAAGAAAAAAUAGUGCAGGAUGAAGAAAAAAUAGUGCAGGAUGAAGCAAAAAUGGUACAGGAUGAAGAAAAAAUAGUGCAGGAUGAAGCAAAAAUGGUACAGGAUGAAGAAAAAAUUGUGCAGGAUGAAGAAAAAGUGGUGCGACAAGAUCUGAAUGAAAGCACAGUGGAAUUAGGACUGAACUUAAAUGCUAACGAUGAGGAUGCUG